RNAcentral lists this ribosomal RNA (406 nucleotides) under uncultured bacterium. RNAcentral's name for it is "partial 16S ribosomal RNA". It matches the Rfam family "Bacterial small subunit ribosomal RNA", at positions 30 to 526 of the family's 1533-position model. The record is from RNAcentral.
AUUGAACGCUGGCGGCAGGCCUAACACAUGCAAGUCGAACGAGUGGCGGACGGGUGAGUAAUGUCUGGGAAACUGCCUGAUGGAGGGGGAUAACUACUGGAAACGGUAGCUAAUACCGCAUACCAUCAGAUGUGCCCAGAUGGUAUUAGCUUGUUGGUGGGGUAACGGCUAACCAGGGCGACGAUCCCUAGCUGGUCUGAGAGGAUGACCAGCCACAUGGGAACUGAGACACGGUCCAGACUCCUACGUGAGGCAGCAUGGGGGAAUAUUGCACAAUGGGGGCAAGCCUGAUGCAGCCAUGCCGCGUGUAGGAAGAAGGCCUUCGGGUUGUAAAGUACUUUAAGCGGGGAGGCGUUACCCGCAGAAGAAGCACCGGCUAACUCCGUGCCAGCAGCCGCGGUAAUUC